This 329-nucleotide unclassified non-coding RNA is filed under the name soil metagenome. RNAcentral's name for it is "partial contains 5.8S ribosomal RNA, internal transcribed spacer 2, and large subunit ribosomal RNA". The stretch from base 1 to 120 matches the Rfam family "5.8S ribosomal RNA", at positions 35 to 154 of the family's 154-position model. The record is from RNAcentral.
GAUGAAGAACGCAGCGAAAUGCGAUAAGUAAUGUGAAUUGCAGAAUUCACUGAAUCAUCGAAUCUUUGAACGCACAUUGCGCCCCCUGGUAUUCCGGGGGGCAUGCCUGUCCGAGCGUCAUUACAACCCUCAAGCUCAGCUUGGUGUUGGGCCCCGCCGCCCCGGCGGGCCCUAAAGUCAGUGGCGGUGCCGUCCGGCUCCGAGCGUAGUAAUUCUUCUCGCUCUGGAGGUCCGGUCGUGUGCUCGCCAGCAACCCCCAAUUUUUUUCAGGUUGACCUCGGAUCAGGUAGGGAUACCCGCUGAACUUAAGCAUAUCAAUAAGCGGAGGA